GUGUCUCUACCUAAAACCGGGAGGAUAAGGGCUGCCCACCUGGAAGAGGAAUCCCUGCUAAAUUAGCUCUUUCUUGGUUUUAAAGAGGAAAGACAUUUUUAAGGAGACAUUCCAGAGGAAGACAAUCAUGAUGAUAAAAG
This 140-nucleotide long non-coding RNA is filed under the name Monodelphis domestica (gray short-tailed opossum). Its description in RNAcentral is "lncRNA (ENSMODG00000051064.1)". The record is from RNAcentral. Lineage: Eukaryota; Metazoa; Chordata; Mammalia; Didelphimorphia; Didelphidae.